This 802-nucleotide ribosomal RNA is filed under the name Streptomyces sp. Its description in RNAcentral is "bacterial SSU rRNA". It matches the Rfam family "Bacterial small subunit ribosomal RNA", at positions 33 to 849 of the family's 1533-position model. Lineage: Bacteria; Bacillati; Actinomycetota; Actinomycetes; Kitasatosporales; Streptomycetaceae. The record is from RNAcentral.
ACGUGGCGGGGGUGCUUAAACAUGCAAGUCGAACGAUGAACCACUUCGGUGGGGAUUAGUGGCGAACGGGUGAGUAACACGUGGGCAAUCUGCCCUGCACUCUGGGACAAGCCCUGGAAACGGGGUCUAAUACCGGAUACUGACCACCACGGGCAUCUGUGGUGUUCGAAAGCUCCGGCGGUGCAGGAUGAGCCCGCGGCCUAUCAGCUUGUUGGUGAGGUAAUGGCUCACCAAGGCGACGACGGGUAGCCGGCCUGAGAGGGCGACCGGCCACACUGGGACUGAGACACGGCCCAGACUCCUACGGGAGGCAGCAGUGGGGAAUAUUGCACAAUGGGCGAAAGCCUGAUGCAGCGACGCCGCGUGAGGGAUGACGGCCUUCGGGUUGUAAACCUCUUUCAGCAGGGAAGAAGCGAAAGUGACGGUACCUGCAGAAGAAGCGCCGGCUAACUACGUGCCAGCAGCCGCGGUAAUACGUAGGGCGCAAGCGUUGUCCGGAAUUAUUGGGCGUAAAGAGCUCGUAGGCGGCUUGUCGCGUCGGUUGUGAAAGCCCGGGGCUUAACCCCGGGUCUGCAGUCGAUACGGGCAGGCUAGAGUUCGGUAGGGGAGAUCGGAAUUCCUGGUGUAGCGGUGAAAUGCGCAUAUAUCAGGAGGAACACCGGUGGCGAAGGCGGAUCUCUGGGCCGAUACUGACGCUGAGGAGCGAAAGCGUGGGGAGCGAACAGGAUUAGAUACCCUGGUAGUCCCACGCCGUAAACGGUGGGCACUAGGUGUGGGCAACAUUCCACGUUGUCCGUGCCGC